Oncorhynchus tshawytscha (Chinook salmon) is the source of this 552-nucleotide long non-coding RNA. Lineage: Eukaryota; Metazoa; Chordata; Actinopteri; Salmoniformes; Salmonidae. The record is from Ensembl.
CAAACCCAUAACCCUAAUGUUGUCAGCACCGUACUCCACGUGGGAAUCAAACCCAUAACCCUAAUGUUGUCAGCACCGUGCUCCAACCAACUGAGCCACCUCAGAACUGUCACACCGUGAGCAUGAUGAAGAUAUCACAGUGAGUCUUUUUUCUAACAGCUCUCCUGCAGCUCUCCUGUACCCCGACCUCUUGUCGCUACGGAAACAGUGCGCUGCCCUCACAAUGCUCACUCGCUCUGGGGAGAGACGCAGAGGAGAGGAGACGAAGGAGGAGGGAAGCUCCGAGCUGGACAGAGGGAUGAAGAGGGACUGGCAUGCAAGAGAUCCCAGGACAGUCAGCAGCAGCCCCUCCAUCUGAAGCAUCAGGAGGGAGAGAACAAGCCUGCAUACAGCACCACACCCACCUUCAGGCUCGACCACUCUUCUCAGAGAGGAAGGAAAAGGACCUGCUUUCAUUCUGAACCAUUCACUUGGACUUAGUAUCACAGACAAGCCUUUCCAUUCUUCAGACCAAAGCAACUGUAGAAGUAACGGAAGACGACAACUGUCUAC